UGAGUAACACGCAUCCAACCUGCCGUCUACUCUUGGACAGCCUUCUGAAAGGAAGAUUAAUACAAGAUGGCAUCAUGAGUCCGCAUGUUCACAUGAUUAAAGGUAUUCCGGUAGACGAUGGGGAUGCGUUCCAUUAGAUAGUAGGCGGGGUAACGGCCCACCUAGUCUUCGAUGGAUAGGGGUUCUGAGAGGAAGGUCCCCCACAUUGGAACUGAGACACGGUCCAA
This 227-nucleotide ribosomal RNA is filed under the name uncultured bacterium. Its description in RNAcentral is "partial 16S ribosomal RNA". It matches the Rfam family "Bacterial small subunit ribosomal RNA", at positions 107 to 334 of the family's 1533-position model. The record is from RNAcentral.